GACGAACGCUGGCGGCGUGCUUAACACAUGCAAGUCGAACGGAAAGACUCCAGCUUGCUGGAGUACUCGAGUGGCGAACGGGUGAGUAACACGUGGGUAAUCUGCCCUGCACUCUGGGAUAAGCCUGGGAAACUGGGUCUAAUACUGGAUAUGACCUUUCUCCUUAUGGGGUUUGGUGGAAAGUUUUUCGGUGUAGGAUGAGCCCGCGGCCUAUCAGCUUGUUGGUGGGGUGAUGGCCUACCAAGGCGACGACGGGUAGCCGGCCUGAGAGGGUGAUCGGCCACAUUGGGACUGAGAUACGGCCCAGACUCCUACGGGAGGCAGCAGUGGGGAAUAUUGCACAAUGGGCGGAAGCCUGAUGCAGCGACGCCGCGUGAGGGAUGACGGCCUUCGGGUUGUAAACCUCUUUCAGCAGGGACGAAGCGUAAGUGACGGUACCUGCAGAAGAAGCACCGGCUAACUACGUG
This 467-nucleotide ribosomal RNA is filed under the name uncultured bacterium. RNAcentral's name for it is "partial 16S ribosomal RNA". It matches the Rfam family "Bacterial small subunit ribosomal RNA", at positions 28 to 507 of the family's 1533-position model. The record is from RNAcentral.